AAAAGCACCUGCAAGGCCUGAAAGAGAUGAAGCUUUAGCCAAGAAAAAGUAACACAAAAGUAACUAAAAGUAACGUAAGCAUUACUUUCCAUGAAAAGUAACUAAGUAAUGCAAUUAGUUACUUUUUUUGGGAGUAACUUAAUAUUGUAAUGCAUUACUUUUAAAAGUAACUUUCCCCAACACUGGUCCUGUAUGAACUCAGCCCUGGUAGAUGGUUUUACACCCCAGAACUUGCCUGAGCUGAAGGUGACCCCUAAAAAUGGAUGAGUUGUAAUAUAAACCAGACUGCAUUGUUGAAAGGGAUUUGGUUUUUCAUAAUGUGGCAAAGAAAAACGUUUGUGUGUUAAAUCUGUGCAUGUUGGACAUUUGCAAGGAAAAACAGAUACUAAGGGAUAAAAUCUCUAUUUGCGUAGAAGUACAUCCAUCAUGGAGAGUAUUGUGUAAACCUCCUGUGGAGAUCUUCAGUGUAGAGUUGUAUUAUAGACUCAAAUAGCUCGGUAUCAAAGUUUAAUAAGAUUGUUCUGUCCUGUAAUGCUCAUGAUGUUUUUCAUAUGUUUUUUGAAUGUCCAAGACUUGUUCCUUUAUUUGUAAUACUUGAAAGUUGAUCACAAAAUUGGGGUUUUCAUAUAACAAUACCUUAGUUUAUAUUAGGAUAUAAAUAUAAAAGUUCAUGGCAACAACAAUGAUUCUUGUCAUUUUUUAUUGGCCCAGCUAAGGCCUAGUCCACACGGACAUGGGUAUUUUUAUAACCGGAGUUUUUCCUGCUGCGGUUUAAAGAAAAUCCCCUCCACACAUGCUCGCUUAAAGAAAUCUCUGCCCACAUGAACAUGGAACAACACGUAAUUACACGCUGUCAAGAGCAUGCCACACCGGCAGGCGGUGAUAUAACUCAAAUCAUAAAGCCACCGUGGCCAAUCAGAAGCCUAACACAAGUGACGUUGGAAGGCGGUUUUACUGUCUACACAACAACACUGCACUCGGCGUUUCUUAAAAUACACACCCUGGCAGGGGUUUUCAAAAAUGUUCAGUUUUAGUGACGUGAUACUGCGUGUCUGUGUGGAUGAAAGGCGUAAAAAAGUCACGGUUAUAAAAAUACCCGUGUCCAUGUGAACAAGGCCUAAGUUUGCCAUUUUGAAAUCCCGCCAGUGUAAAAAUGCAGGAAAAUAAGGCCUAGUCCACACGGACAUGGGUAUUUCUAACCUGAGUUUUUCCUCCAAACAAAUCCUGUCCACACAUGCUCAGUUUAAAAGAAAUCUCUGUCCACAUGAAAAAGCAAAAACACUUUUAUAAAAACACGCUUAUAAAAAUACUCAGGUCCGUGUGGACUAGGUCUAAGUCUUUUAUAGAAUUGUGAGUGUCCAUUGAGUUUACAUAUUACAAAUACACAGAUAAUGUUGCUUUGUUUUGAAUGGAGAUGGGGUGUGAGAGAGGCUGACUUUUGUUGUGGAUCUUGUAUCAAAUUUGUCUUAAGCCCUGUUUUCUCUCUCUCUCUCUCUCUCUCUCCCUAUAAUUUGAAAAUUACAUUGCUGUAGUUUGCAAUGAAUUGUGGGAGCAUGCUAAAUGCAAAUUUUACAGUUAUGUCUGCAAUAUUGUAUUUUUAAAAUAGGCUAAUAUGUAAAUGCUACAGGACAACAUGUAAUGACACUUAUUAUUUUAUUUUAUGUAUUUAUUUAUUUAUUGAAAAAGUCAGCUGUGGCACUAGCUUGGAAAUAAAAGCUUUGGCACUUUACAAUAACUGCAAUAAAUGCAGCCUAUUAAAUGAAUUAUAAACAUGCAUGUAGAUUCUGUUAAUGUACAAAUCUUUGUCAAAAAUGUUUGAUAAGAAACACAUUUACACAACAUGUGCGUAGCGCAGUACGUGUGAUGUCACGACGUCAUCAGCAAAUUUGCGCGCGGUGCACAUGCGCAUUGCGAGUUUGCGCAGACAGGUGUCUACGGAGUGGAAAGAAGUUGUUGCAUCUGAUAAUUCUUCAAUCGUGUAGCAGAAACUGCAGCUUACAUGGAAUGAGGAUUAUCGGAUUCACCUACACUCACUGAUCAUCCAAGGUGAAUUGAUGACCCCAAGCAAAUGGAUGUUGUCAUCUGAAGAGAAGGUUGUCCUGGGCCCAUGUUAAGAGGCAUUUGGGGCAUAUCAGACACAUAUCAGAAUCAAGCUGCAUGCACACUUGAGUUUAUUCAGAGAGAAGUUGUGGGCAUCAGUCUGGAAACUGGAUCAAAGAUUUGCUGCUGGAACGUGUGACAAAUAAAGGCAUGGAAUGAACCCAAAUGUAUGAACACUGCUACGAAAACUAAUGGACUUUGAAUGACUUACCAGUUAAUUCCAGUGGAAGUUUUCAAGUUUGUGGUUAAUUUAAAAGAUUAUCUUCAUAGAUAAGCAAUUUAAAGGUAGGCACAGUUAAAACUAUUUCUUGUGUGUUUGUUUAAACUGUAAAUUUAUGACUGAAGUUUGGUCACUAAUAUGUAGUAAUGUGUUCCUUUGUGGUUAAUUAAAUGCUGCAGUGCUUUGUGCUAUUCGUUGUUGUAUUUCCAACGCUAAAGCCUUAUUUUGUGAUCUGCAUUGUAUUGGAGAGUUUUGGAAACUAAUAUUUAUUAUCUUAAUGCAUUGGAAAGUUUUGGACUAUUUUACAAUAAAUGCAUUUGGCUACAUGAUUUUCUGUUAUUUUAAGUGUUUUAGUUUACAUUACAUUAAAGGAUUUAUCACAGCAGUUAAAAAAAAAAUUACAGUAAUUUUUUUACAGUGUAGGCUACCAUGACACAAGUUGCAGCUCCAAAAACAUUUCUUAGUCAAGUUGUAUAGCUACAAGCAGCACAAAACAAAAGAAGUGGAUUUGAUGAAGUCAUGUUGUAGUAUUGCUGAACAACGUUCACCAGUUAGAGAUUGAGGUGGAAUAUGAGUUAACAGUGGACGUGGUCUUACUUUGCAGCAAAAGCAAAACCCUAAAAGUUUCAAUGCUGAAGGAGGAUACAUUUAAAACACUAUAAAUUUACUGAUUUAUGUAAUUUUACUUACAUUUCUACAGAAAAAUAAUCAAUAAAACAUUUACAGAAAUUUUCUGUAAAAAUAAUUUUUUUAAUCUGUAAAAAUGAACGGCAAAUUUCUGUGAAAAUUAACGGCAAAUGUCUGUGGAAAUGAACGGCAAAU
Molecule: non-coding RNA, 3142 nt
Organism: Misgurnus anguillicaudatus (oriental weatherfish)
Lineage: Eukaryota; Metazoa; Chordata; Actinopteri; Cypriniformes; Cobitidae
Source: RefSeq, a predicted model, not a curated record